UGAGCAGCUUGCGAGCGAAGGUGUUGAUCGAGUCAUCAAAAAGAAAAAGUUUAGUGCAGUCGGUGUCAAUACUAGUCGUUAUUCAUUCAGACAACCUAAAAUAACAUCAGAGUUAUUAACUUAUGUCCACGUCUAGCGUGGAGAUCUGUCAGUGCUGAGGUGAGGUACCAUGACCCAGGCCAAGGAAAGCAACGGAACAACCGUACCAGGUGUGAUCAUGCUCGUUGAACAAGUUCAGGAGUGCGACCAAAGGAUGCAGAGCACAGCGAUAACGUGCCUGGAUCAGAGCGAUAUGAUCCAACUUGAGUACUUGACUUGACUGCCCCAGUCGUCUCGUCUGUCCUAUAUCAAAACAAGCCACAGCAGAAGAAACCACCACCAUAUUUAGAACAGCUACUUCGUUAUGAUCAAAGGGGUGAAUCAUCAAACUACAGAAACAAUAUCAGAUAUUACAGUUCAAUGUUCGCGUUCACUUCGAUGGGCGGCCAAAUAGAUCAUGAGAUAAAUAGACAAGGUGGUGUACCUUAUGUCCUUCGUUUGAAGCUUGGAUUGAGCCCUGUCCAAUGGUUCUUCACCAUCUUCCUAAUAGCCAUAUGCUUCAACGCCAAACCAUGCACAUGUUCCAGCAGCUCCGACCAGGAUCAGAGGGCAAGGUACACCUGGAACAC
This 668-nucleotide long non-coding RNA is filed under the name Sorghum bicolor (sorghum). RNAcentral's name for it is "long non-coding RNA (SBIC_LNC003882)". The record is from RNAcentral. Lineage: Eukaryota; Viridiplantae; Streptophyta; Magnoliopsida; Poales; Poaceae.